This is a small nucleolar RNA of Dicentrarchus labrax (European seabass), 126 nucleotides long. Its record names the gene SNORA71. It matches the Rfam family "Small nucleolar RNA SNORA71". From Rfam's summary of the family: The members of this family belong to the H/ACA class of snoRNAs which bind a number of proteins (including dyskerin, Gar1p and Nop10p) to form snoRNP complexes. The record is from Ensembl. NCBI's taxonomy places the organism in Eukaryota, Metazoa, Chordata, Actinopteri, Moronidae.
CCCUGUAUCGAAAGUGACCGUGGCGUCCUGUGGCCACGGUCAUUGAUAGUACAGGAAGAUAAAACUGCGAGCCUUUCCCGUGUCUGAAGGAUGAUUGUUCCUCUCAGACCCUGGCGCUCUCACACA